AAGUAAAAGUUGUAACAAGGUUUCCGUAGGUGAACCUGCGGAAGGAUCAUUAAAAAAAAA
This 60-nucleotide ribosomal RNA is filed under the name Phillipsia domingensis. RNAcentral describes it as "partial 18S rRNA". The stretch from base 1 to 52 matches the Rfam family "Eukaryotic small subunit ribosomal RNA", at positions 1780 to 1831 of the family's 1831-position model. Lineage: Eukaryota; Fungi; Ascomycota; Pezizomycetes; Pezizales; Sarcoscyphaceae. The record is from RNAcentral.